This is a long non-coding RNA of Balaenoptera ricei (Rice's whale), 1060 nucleotides long. RefSeq lists it as uncharacterized. Lineage: Eukaryota; Metazoa; Chordata; Mammalia; Artiodactyla; Balaenopteridae. The transcript has 4 exons. The record is from RefSeq and is a predicted model, not a curated record.
AGCGGAAGGACGUGUUUAGAAGGCGCCGCCGGGGGCGGGGCUUGGGGAGGACACGCCGUGCGCCAACCAACGCCCCCUGACGGCCGCUCUCUGCACACGCUCCCGUGAGGCCGUGGGAAACUGCGCUCGUUCGCGCGAAAUGGAAUUCCCUUUGCUUCAGUUCCAAACAAAGAUCUCUACAGUCACUUCAAGCAUUUUUGCACCAAUAGAUUAAGAUUUAGCUCCUGGCUCACUGCCGCUCUCUCCAGCACUGCUCCUGUCAUGAUUCCUGUGAUGCCCUUGCUUCCUAGCCACCGAGGAAACUUCAGCAAUGGCAGGAGAACUUCCAUAACUCACCUACCGCAUCCCAGCUACCAGCACUGUACUCGAAUCCUCUGCCUUCGUCCUGUUCCUUCAAUGGAUCCUAACCCCUGUCACCUAUUCAGAAACCUGCCUCUGGCAGUUCCUCCCUUUUUGUCCCUGCUUUUCCCUGGAUUGUUCCCAUCAACACACAAAUAAAUACGCAGUCGUUUCUCCCAUCUUAAAAACCUGAUCUUUACCCCGACUCCCUUUCCAACUACUGCUGUUUUCCUUCCUUUACAACAAAACUGAAAGAUUUGUCUAUAUUUACUAUUUCCAAUUACUCUCCUCAUUCUUUUUUUUUUGUUUUUGAGCUAUGAUUCACAUACCAUAAACGUCACCAUUUUAAAGUGUACCAUUCAGUGGGUUUUAGUAUGUUCACAAGGUUGUACAACCACCACCAGUAUCUAAUCCAGAACACUUUCAUUACCCCCAAAAGACACCUGUGCCCGUUAGCAGUCACUCUCCAUUCCCCUUCUCCCCCCAGCCUUAGGCAACCACUAACCUACUUUCUGUUUCUAUGGGUUUGAAUAUUCUGGACGUUUCAUAUAAAUGGAAUCAUACAUUAUGUGGCCAUUUGUGUCUGGCUUCUUUCACAAUUUUUCAGGGUUCCUUCAGGUGGCAUGUGUCAGUAAUUCUUUCCUUUUUAUGGCUGAAUAAUAUUCCACUGUGUGGACAUAAUCAUUUUGUUUAUCCAUUUAUCAGUUGAUGGACACUAGGG